AUUGAACGCUGGCGGCAUGCCUUACACAUGCAAGUCGAACGGCAGCACGGGAGCAAUCCUGGUGGCGAGUGGCGAACGGGUGAGUAAUAUAUCGGAACGUGCCCAGUCGUGGGGAUAACGUAGCGAAAGCUACGCUAAUACCGCAUACGAUCUACGGAUGAAAGCGGGGGAUCGCAAGACCUCGCGCGAUUGGAGCGGCCGAUAUCAGAUUAGGUAGUUGGUGAGGUAAAGGCUCACCAAGCCGACGAUCUGUAGCUGGUCUGAGAGGACGACCAGCCACACUGGGACUGAGACACGGCCCAGACUCCUACGGGAGGCAGCAGUGGGGAAUUUUGGACAAUGGGCGCAAGCCUGAUCCAGCAAUGCCGCGUGCAGGAUGAAGGCCUCGGUGUAACUGCUUUGUACGG
Molecule: ribosomal RNA, 407 nt
Filed under: uncultured bacterium
Lineage: Bacteria
Description: bacterial SSU rRNA
Rfam family: Bacterial small subunit ribosomal RNA
Source: RNAcentral